CAGCAGCCGCGGGAAUACGGAGGGUGCUAGCGUUGUUCGGAAUCACUGGGCGUAAAGGGCGCGUAGGCGGCCUGUUAAGUCGGAUGUGAAAGCCCGGGGCUCAACCCCGGAACUGCAUCCGAGACUGGCAGGCUUGAGACCGGGAGAGGAGGGUGGAAUAUCCAGUGUAGAGGUGAAAUUCGUAGAUAUUGGAUGGAACACCGGUGGCGAAAGCGGCUCUCUGGCCCGGAUCUGACGCUGAGGCGCGAAAGCGUGGGGAGCAAACAGGAUUAGAUACCCGAGUAGUCCCUGUCUCUUAUAC
RNAcentral lists this ribosomal RNA (301 nucleotides) under uncultured bacterium. RNAcentral's name for it is "partial 16S ribosomal RNA". It matches the Rfam family "Bacterial small subunit ribosomal RNA", at positions 509 to 807 of the family's 1533-position model. The record is from RNAcentral.